This 399-nucleotide transfer-messenger RNA is filed under the name Bacteroides sp. It matches the Rfam family "transfer-messenger RNA". Rfam says of the family: Bacterial tmRNA, also known as 10Sa RNA or SsrA, is named for its dual tRNA and mRNA-like properties. Its role is to liberate the mRNA from a stalled ribosome. Lineage: Bacteria; Pseudomonadati; Bacteroidota; Bacteroidia; Bacteroidales; Bacteroidaceae. RNAcentral also lists the same sequence under 1 other name. The record is from RNAcentral.
GGGGUUGACCGGUUUUGACAGCGUGUAGAAGUGGUCAGCAAGCAUGCAGAGCAAUGAUGCCUAAGCUCUUAAAUCUCUGACAUCAAAAUUUCAAAUGGCGAAAACAACUACGCUCUCGCUGCUUGAUUGAAGUAUAGUAGAUCAGCUUUAUCCGCGUAACAGUUACGCGGACGAGACAUCGCCCGAGAGUCCUGGACCCGAGACUCCUCGAUAAGGCGGUGCAGCUAAAUCGGGUAUAGGGAAAGCCGCGCUUCGAGGUUUGCCCGAAAUUUUAGAAGCUAAGGCCAUGGUUGGAGGUCCCGUUCCUGCCACGGCUCGAAAACCAACUCGGGAAUAAGCAUGUAGAAAACUCAUCAAUUCCACGUUUGGACGGGGGUUCAAAUCCCCCCAACUCCACUU